Molecule: ribosomal RNA, 342 nt
Filed under: uncultured eukaryote
Lineage: Eukaryota
Description: SSU rRNA
Rfam family: Eukaryotic small subunit ribosomal RNA
Source: RNAcentral
AUAGCAUAUAUUAAAGUUGUUGCAGUUAAAAAGCUCGUAGUUGGAUUUCUGGAGGGGUGCCGAAGUCCGCACGAUUGCGUGUGCUGAGGCGCCCUUCCAUCCUUCUGUUAACGUUUCUUGGUAUUCAGUUACUGGUUUCGGGCUCAGAUAUUUUACCUUGAGAAAAUUAGAGUGUUCCAGGCAGGCUUGCGCCGGAAUACAUUAGCAUGGAAUAAUAGAAUAGGACUUUUGUCUCCUUUGUUGGUUUGAGGGACUGAAGUAAUGAUUAAUAGGGAUAGUUGGGGGCAUUAGUAUUUAAUUGUCAGAGGUGAAAUUCUCGGAUUUGUUAAAGACUAACUUAUG